GAUGAACGCUGGCGGCGUGCCUAACACAUGCAAGUCGAGCGAAGCGAUUUUGAGGAAGUUUUCGGAUGGAAUUGAAAUUGACUUAGCGGCGGACGGGUGAGUAACACGUGGGUAAUCUGCCUUAUACAGGGGGAUAACAGUUAGAAAUGACUGCUAAUACCGCAUAAGCGCACGGGAACGCAUGUUUCUGUGUGAAAAACUCCGGUAGUAUAAGAUGAGCCCGCGUCUGAGUAGCUGGUUGGUGGGGUAACGGCCUACCAAGGCGACGAUCAGUAGCCGGCCUGAGAGGGUGAACGGCCACAUUGGGACUGAGACACGGCCCAA
Molecule: ribosomal RNA, 324 nt
Filed under: uncultured bacterium
Lineage: Bacteria
Description: bacterial SSU rRNA
Rfam family: Bacterial small subunit ribosomal RNA
Source: RNAcentral